CACGUAGGGUCCGAGCGUUGUCCGGAAUUACUGGGCGUAAGGCGCGCGCAGGCGGUCCAUUCAGUCGCUGGUGAAAGCCCCACGCUCAACGUGGGAAGGUCCGGCGAGACGGGUGGACUGGAGGCAGGGAGAGGUCGGUGGAAUUCCGGGUGUAGUGGUGAAAUGCGUAGAGAUCCGGAGGAACACCAGAGGCGAAGGCGGCCGACUGGACCUGACCUGACGCUGAGGCGCGAAGGCGUGGGGAGCGAACGGG
This 253-nucleotide ribosomal RNA is filed under the name uncultured bacterium. Its description in RNAcentral is "partial 16S ribosomal RNA". It matches the Rfam family "Bacterial small subunit ribosomal RNA", at positions 524 to 776 of the family's 1533-position model. The record is from RNAcentral.